This 45-nucleotide non-coding RNA is filed under the name Trichobilharzia regenti. The record is from RNAcentral. Lineage: Eukaryota; Metazoa; Platyhelminthes; Trematoda; Strigeidida; Schistosomatidae.
AUCCGGCCGAUGAGUCACAAAUAGGACGAAAUGUGCAUCCUAGAU